Molecule: ribosomal RNA, 373 nt
Filed under: uncultured bacterium
Lineage: Bacteria
Description: bacterial SSU rRNA
Rfam family: Bacterial small subunit ribosomal RNA
Source: RNAcentral
ACGUAGGGUGCGAGCGUUAAUCGGAAUUACUGGGCGUAAAGCGUGCGCAGGCGGUUUUGAAAGACAGGCGUGAAAUCCCCGGGCUCAACCUGGGAACUGCGCUUGUGACUACAAGACUAGAGUACGGCAGAGGGGGGUAGAAUUCCACGUGUAGCAGUGAAAUGCGUAGAGAUGUGGAGGAAUACCGAUGGCGAAGGCAGCCCCCUGGGCCAGUACUGACGCUCAUGCACGAAAGCGUGGGGAGCAAACAGGAUUAGAUACCCUGGUAGUCCACGCCCUAAACGAUGUCAACUAGGUGUUGGGUGGGUAAAACCAUUUAGUACCGGAGCUAACGCGUGAAGUUGACCGCCUGGGGAGUACGGCCGCAAGGUUA